This is a non-coding RNA of Malus domestica (apple), 1771 nucleotides long. Lineage: Eukaryota; Viridiplantae; Streptophyta; Magnoliopsida; Rosales; Rosaceae. The record is from RefSeq and is a predicted model, not a curated record.
CUCAUUCUCUCUCUCUCUCUCUCUCUUUAUAUAUAUAUAUAUAUAUAUUUUUUUUUUUUAAUUUUCAUUUGUAUAUGGUUUUCUGGGUAGGUCUUAGAUCUUCAAAGGAUUUCAGCUUGCUUUUGAUUGUUAGACUUCACAAGCACUUAUGACAUUAAUUCACAAAAUCUUUCAAUUUUUCAAUGAAAGUUUUUGGUGAAAUGCUAUAAUGCCUCACUGGGUAUGUCUAAUAAUUUGGAAAGAAGAACUUUUGGAAUCCCAUUAUUGCUCAAAGUUUUUAUCUUUAUUAUUCUGUGCAGAAAACGGUGGAAUUGCAUUUGUUUGAUCAUAUUGUGAUGACCCAAUUUUAAAGUUGAAUUCCUGUUGUGGAGUUUAAGAUUUCCCAUGAUUGUGAUAUUUCAAGAUUGUCUCUCUGAUUUUUGGUAGCUGUAAAAUCAGGUUGCUAACUUCAUCUCUGGUAUGAUAUAAAGCUUUGGAACACUAUUUCUAAUGCUUUUGUUCUCCUUUCUUUUCUCAAUGACUUUCAGGCUGCUGAGUGACUAUAACGUGGAGACAAUAAACGAUGGGCUAAAUGAAUUCAAUGUGGAAUUCCAUGGUUCAAAAGAAAGUAAUGUCUGACGCCCCUGCUUCUAGUGGCACGCCGGCAAAUUUGGGUCAAACAGGGCGGAAGUAUCAAGUUUAUUUAGAAAUUAAGAAUGCUAUUAUCCUGCGGUUGAUUAUCAAAUCCUUUUUACCUUUUAAAAGUUUUUGAAGUUUUCCUUCCACAACUGUUGCUUUAUCCAAAUCUUUCAGGUCCGCUCAACGGUGAUGCAGCAUCAUUGAUGAUGAAGGACUGAAAACUCUAUGAUCAGAAGGUCAAAGAGUACUGUGAGCGACAUGCAAAGAAGGAACACAUUACCAAUACAACACCAGACGAGGAGCGCGAUGAGAACAUUAGUGAUGAGGAAAGCAAACUCAAGGGACAAUGAUAUUGCUGGACAUGCAGACCCAUAGUGAAUCACAGACGGGGAAUUAAAACUUAUAAAUAUCAAGUCUCAGAAUGCUACCAUGUCUAAAGCAAGCAUGAGGAACGACUUCAUACAAUUCAGAGACUUUCUAAGGGAAAGGUUGCCAAAGACAUGGAGGGACCUAAACUUGUUUCUGGAUUUCUUCGACAAACCUAUAGAGUAAGAAUGCUUUGAUAUAAUGGCUAUGAGUCCCAUUCUCUAUUGGUACCAAGAUUUCAUGGUCACUCACCGUUACAUUUGAUAUCAAUGGAGGAGAGAAUAAAUAAAUGUGCUUUAAAUGUUUCUCAAUCCUUGAUAUCAAAUUCAAAAACAAGAGAGUGAGUAAUUAACCAUGCGUUCCUUAGUCACCUGGAACAAGACAACAUUUAUGCAAUAAGUACACCUAACAUAUGUAUUGCUCUCUGUCCUUCUAAAUAUGUUUUCAUAGGUUCGAAAGCUAUGUUGAAAAACUCAUUAGACACCCUUUCCUCAUGAGUUCUCAGAAGAGACUGAAGUACUUCUUCCGGAUAGGUCAGGCCUUUGAACAAAAUAUUAUAUCUCAACAUGACUUUAAUAUCAUGUUCCAAGUUGAUCCUUUUUCGAGGUAUAUGGGCUGGAAUUCAACCAGAAUGUACAACCGAAUGAGUCAAGACCUAAAAGCCACUAUCGAUUAUGGGAGCGCAACCGAAUGAGUCUAUACAAUUACGUUUACUUGGUUGUAUCUUGCAUAAUCUUUUCAAGAGUUCAAGUUUCAAAACUAUACAAAAUUGUUUGGUGGUUUUCUU